Molecule: ribosomal RNA, 1470 nt
Filed under: uncultured Bordetella sp.
Lineage: Bacteria; Pseudomonadati; Pseudomonadota; Betaproteobacteria; Burkholderiales; Alcaligenaceae
Description: partial 16S-23S ribosomal RNA intergenic spacer
Rfam family: Bacterial small subunit ribosomal RNA
Source: RNAcentral
CAGGGGUUCGAUCUGGCUCAGAUUGAACGCUGGCGGGAUGCUUUACACAUGCAAGUCGAACGCUGGCCUGGACUUGGUCUGGUGGCGAGUGGCGAACGGGUGAGUAAUGUAUCGGACAGUGCGCUAGUAGCGGGGGAUAACUACGCGAAAGCGUAGCUAAUACCGCAUACGCCACUUCGGGGAAAAGCCGCGGGGGACCUUCGGGCCUCGCACUGUCGACGGCCGAUAUCGGAUUAGCUAGUUGGUGGGGUAACGGCUCACCAGGCGACGAUCCGUAGCUGGUUUGGGGACGACCAGCCACACUGGGACUGAGACUUUUUGGCCCAGACUCCUACAGGAGGCAGCAGUGAGAAUUUUGGACAAUGGGGGAAACCUGAUCCAGCCAUCCCGCGUGUGCGAUGAAGGCCUUCGGGUUGUAAAGCACUUUUAGCAGGAAAGAAACGGCACGGGAUAAUACCCCGUGCAACUGACGGUACCUGCAGAAUAAGCUCCGGCUAACUACGUGCCAGCAGCCGCGGUAAUACGUAGGGUGCAAGCGUUAAUCGGAAUUACUGGGCGUAAAGCGUGCGCAGGCGGUUUAGGAAGAAAGAUGUGAAAUCCCAGAGCUUAACUUUGGAACUGCAUUUUUAACUACCGAGCUAGAGUGUGUCAGAGGAGGUGGAAUUCCGCGUGUAGCAGUGAAAUGCGUAGAUAUGCGGAGGAACACCGAUGGCGAAGGCGGCCUCCUGGGAUAACACUGACACUCAUGCACAGCGUGGGGAGCAAACAGGAUUAGAUACCCUGGUAGUCCACUAAACAGUGUCAACUAGCUGUUGGGGCCUUCGGGCCUUGGUAGCGCAGCUAACGCGUGAAGUUGACCGCCUGGGGAGUACGGUCGCAAGAUUAAAGCCGAAAGGAAUUGACGGGAUUACACAGCAGUGGAUGAUGUGGAUUAAUUCGAUGCAACGCGAAAAACCUUACCUACCCUUGACAUGUCUGGAAUCCGAAGAGAUUUGGGAGUGCUCGCAAGAGAACCGGAACACAGGUGCUGCAUGGCUGUCGUCAGCUCGUGUCGUGAGAUGUUGGGUUAAGUCCCGCAACGAGCGCAACCCUUGUCAUUAGUUGCUUUACGAGGAGCACUCUAAUGAGACUGCGACAAAACUGCGGAGGAAGGUGGGGAUGACGUCAAGUCCUCAUGGCCCUUAUGGUGGGGCUUCACAUCUGUAAUGGUCGGGACAGAGGUCGCCAACCCGCGAGGGAAUAAUCAGAAACCCGAUCGUAGUCCGGAUCCGCAGUCUGCAACUCGACUGCGUGAAGUCAGAAUCGCUAGUAAUCGCGGAUCAGCAUGUCGCGGUGAAUACGUUCCCGGGUCUUGUACACACCGCCCGUCACACCAUGGGAGUGGGUUUGCAAGAAGUAGUUAGCCUAACCGUAAGGAGAGGACGAUUACCACGGUAAGUUCAUGACUGGGGUGAAGUCGUAACAAAGUAG